Molecule: microRNA precursor, 107 nt
Filed under: Mus spretus (western wild mouse)
Lineage: Eukaryota; Metazoa; Chordata; Mammalia; Rodentia; Muridae
Description: microRNA 1927 (ENSMSPG00010046113.1)
Source: RNAcentral
GUAUGUUUACCAUGUGCAUGUAGGUUCAGAUCCCUAGAAACCAGAGUUGCAGGUGUUUGUGAACUGACCUGGAUGUUAGGAACUGAGCAUACAUCCUCUUUCUACAA